UUUAGGUUAGAAACCAGAAAAGGUUUCUCACCCACAGGGUGGUUGGGCACUGGAACAGGCUCCCCAGAGAAGUGGUCACAGCACAGCCUGGCAGAG
Molecule: non-coding RNA, 96 nt
Organism: Sturnus vulgaris (Common starling)
Lineage: Eukaryota; Metazoa; Chordata; Aves; Passeriformes; Sturnidae
Source: RefSeq, a predicted model, not a curated record